RNAcentral lists this long non-coding RNA (557 nucleotides) under Musa acuminata (dwarf banana). RNAcentral describes it as "long non-coding RNA (MACU_LNC003326)". The record is from RNAcentral. Lineage: Eukaryota; Viridiplantae; Streptophyta; Magnoliopsida; Zingiberales; Musaceae.
UUUCUGGUAGAAUUCAAGAGGCACAUUGAACAAAUGAUUCAAACUAUCAAUCGUGCUCCAAUUUACUCAGAAAUAUAUCAUUGGAAAUAUAUUUCAAUCUACUUCCAGAUAAAACAAGCUUCAUAUGAAUUGAAUUGUCCAACAGAGAGAGUUACAAAUAAUUUGGUAAACAAGGGUCUCAGAACAAAAUCUCUGUUUGGCAGAAUUCAUAAUGUCAGAUUCAAUAGAUAACUGGGCAGGUGUUUGGAUUCCAAAUCUUUCAAUCCAUAUAUCAAAAGAAAGAUCUACGAGUCUAGUUUCCAAUGAAAUCAGUUUUGAACAAAUCAGAGUUUCCAACAAAGACUUAUAGGCAGCUCGGUAUCAAAAGGUCAGAAUCUCAGAAGUUGCACAGAUUCGAAUCGUUACAUCUAAACAGGAGAUAUAUCUAAUGCAAGGCUAGAACAAUUUAAAGUUCCUCAUAUUCAAAGCAAAUGUAGAGAUAAAAUUGCAAUAAGGUAAGAUCAGGACACUUGCAAUAGGAAAGAUUAGAAAGCUUACAAUAGGAAGGAUCGAAACAC